RNAcentral lists this ribosomal RNA (468 nucleotides) under uncultured bacterium. RNAcentral's name for it is "partial 16S ribosomal RNA". It matches the Rfam family "Bacterial small subunit ribosomal RNA", at positions 28 to 507 of the family's 1533-position model. The record is from RNAcentral.
GACGAACGCUGGCGGCGUGCCUAACACAUGCAAGUCGAACGGAAGGGCCCUGCUCUUGUGGGGUGCUCGAGUGGCGAACGGGUGAGUAUCACGCGAGUAACCUCUCCCUGUCUGUGGGAUAACAUCAGGAAACAGGGGCUCUAACCGCGUAUGAGCUCUUGCUGCACGGUGGGGGUUGGAAAGUUUCGGCGGUUGGGGAUGGACUCGCGGCUUAUCAGCUUGUUGGUGAGGUAGUGGCUUACCAAGGCUCUGACGGGUAGCCGGCCUGGGAGGGUGACCGGCCACAUUGGGACUGAGAUACGGCCCAGACUGCUACGGGAGGCAGCAGUGGGAAAUAUUGCACAAUGGGCGGAAGCCUGAUGCAGCAGUGCCGCGUGCGGGAUGACGGCCUUCGGGUUGUAAACCGCUUUCGCCUGUGACGAAGCGUGAGUGACGGUAAUGGGUAAAGAAGCAACGGCUAACUACGUG